ACCCCCACGGGAUACAGCAGUAAUUAAAAUUAAGCAAUAAACGAAAGUUUGACUAAGUUAUGCAACAUUACAUAGGGUUGGUAAAUUUCGUGCCAGCCACCGCGGUCAUACGAUUAACCCUAAUUAAUAAAACCCGGCGUAAAGAGUGUUAAAAUUAUAAAAACAAUAAGAUUAAAUUUUAUCUAAGUCGUAAAAAACAACAGAUAAAAAUAAAACCAUAAACGAAAGUAAUCUUAAUAAACCUGAAUACACUAAAGCUAAGACCCAAACUGGGAUUAGAUACCCCACUAUGCUUAGCCAUAAACACAGAUAUUUAAUAACAAAAAUUUUCGCCAGAGUACUACUAGCAACAGCUUAAAACUCAAAGGACUUGGCGGUGCUUUAAACCCACCUAGAGGAGCCUGUUCUAUAAUCGAUAAACCCCGAUAUACCUCACCACUUCUUGCUAAUCCAGUCUAUAUACCGCCAUCUCCAGCAAACCCCAACAGGGAUUAAAAGUAAGCACAAUUACGCUCAUAAAAACGUUAGGUCAAGGUGUAACUAAUGAAGUGGGAAGCAAUGGGCUACAUUUUCUUCUCCCAAGAAAAUAAUAACAGUAAUCUUUAUGAAACUAAUGAUUUAAGGAGGAUUUAGUAGUAAAUUAAGAAUAGAGAGCUUAGUUGAAUUAGGCAAUAAAGCACGCACACACCGCCC
This 693-nucleotide ribosomal RNA is filed under the name Mesocapromys melanurus (black-tailed hutia). Its description in RNAcentral is "partial 12S ribosomal RNA". It matches the Rfam family "Bacterial small subunit ribosomal RNA", at positions 335 to 1395 of the family's 1533-position model. The record is from RNAcentral. Lineage: Eukaryota; Metazoa; Chordata; Mammalia; Rodentia; Capromyidae.